AUUGAACGCUGGCGGCAUGCCUUACACAUGCAAGUCGAACGGCAGCGGACCUUCGGGUGCCGGCGAGUGGCGAACGGGUGAGUAAUAUAUCGGGAACGUACCUUUCAGUGGGGGAUAACGUAGCGAAAGUUACGCUAAUACCGCAUAUUCUGUGAGCAGGAAAGCAGGGGAUCGCAAGACCUUGCGCUGAUUGAGCGGCCGAUAUCAGAUUAGCUAGUUGGUGAGGUAAAGGCUCACCAAGGCGACGAUCUGUAGCGGGUCUGAGAGGAUGAUCCGCCACACUGGAACUGAGACACGGUCCAGACUCCUACGGGAGGCAGCAGUGGGGAAUUUUGGACAAUGGGCGCAAGCCUGAUCCAGCCAUGCCGCGUGAGUGAAGAAGGCCUC
This 387-nucleotide ribosomal RNA is filed under the name uncultured bacterium. Its description in RNAcentral is "bacterial SSU rRNA". It matches the Rfam family "Bacterial small subunit ribosomal RNA", at positions 30 to 418 of the family's 1533-position model. The record is from RNAcentral.